Molecule: long non-coding RNA, 680 nt
Filed under: Capsicum annuum
Lineage: Eukaryota; Viridiplantae; Streptophyta; Magnoliopsida; Solanales; Solanaceae
Description: long non-coding RNA (CANN_LNC005512)
Source: RNAcentral
GGGUAUGUAGUUUAUGUUACUUUUCGGGUACAAAAUUUUACUUCAAUAAUAUGAACUUCAACACUAAAUUCAAGAAUUACAAAGAAGUUCAGCAACUUCAAACACAAGUUCAAAUGAACUAUCAAAAUGAAGUUUCUACAAUUUUCUGAAAAAACAGUAAAAUCAACUUUAAAGAAAGUAAGAUGAAGACAGACGUGCAUUUGUAGGGGGGUGUGCGGAUUUAAUAGGUAUAAUAGAUUUAGUAGGUUUGUAGUGAAUCUAUUUUUAUUAGUGCGUGGAUAUUUUGUUUCAAUAUCUUUUAAUAAUUUACUUUUUUCGUAAGAUAUAUUCAUUAAAAAUUUUUUUUUUAUCCUGUAGUAAUUGCAGAGUUACAAAUUUCUGUAUAAUAAUUUAUCCUAUCUGUGCUAUAAUGUAUAUCUAAUUCUAGAUUUUCAAUGUUAUUUAUUAUCUUGUGUUGUUCUUCUCGUAGUGAGUUUUUUAAAUUAUAUAAACUAUCACAUGUACUUUUAUCUAAAUUUUCUAAAGUUUUUUCUAUCCAUAUUAAUUUUUCUUUUAGGUCUUCCAUUAUUUUCCUAAUUCGGUUUCUAUAAUUAAUUUCAUUAUUUAGAUUUUCUUGAUUUUCUCUAGUUUGUCUAAUAUAUUCUAACAUUUUUUAAUCUGAAUAAUAUCCUUCUGGGUAA